Molecule: ribosomal RNA, 441 nt
Filed under: uncultured bacterium
Lineage: Bacteria
Description: bacterial SSU rRNA
Rfam family: Bacterial small subunit ribosomal RNA
Source: RNAcentral
CCUACGGGUGGCUGCAGACGAGAAUAUUCGACAAUGCACGAAAGUGUGAUCGAGCGAUGCCGCGUGCAGGAAGAAGGGCUUCGGCCUGUAAACUGCUUUUGCCAUGGAAAAAUUUUGAUUGUACAUGGAGAAUAAGGGGUUGCUAACUCUGUGCCAGCAGCAGCGGUAAUACAGAGACCCCGAGCGUUAUCCGGAAUUACUGGGCGUAAAGAGUGAGUAGCCGGUUUUGUUAGUCUGAUGUUAAAUCUCGAGGCUCAACUUCGAGACCGCAUCGGAAACGGCAAGACUAGAGCAGGUAAGAGGCAAGCGGAACGUGCGGUGUAGGGGUGAAAUCCAUUGAUAUUGCACGGAACACCAAAAGCGAAAGCAGCUUGCUGGUGCUUUGCUGACGGUCAAUCACUAAAGCGUGGGGAUCAAAAAGGAUUAGAUACCCAAGUAGUC